CCUACGGGUGGCAGCAGUGGGGAAUAUUGCGCAAUGGGGGAAACCCUGACGCAGCAACGCCGCGUGAGUGAAGACGUAUCUCGGUAUGUAAAGCUCUAUCAGCGGGGAAGAAGGAAGACGGUACCCGACUAAGAAGCCCCGGCGAACUACGUACCAGCAGCCGCGGUAAUACGUAGGGGGCGCGCGUUAUCCGGAUUUACUGGGGGUAAAGGGAGCGUAGACGGCGUCGCAAGUCUGAGGUGAAAGCCCGUGGCUCAACCGCGGAACCGCUGUGGAAACUGCGUGGCUGGAGUGCUGGAGAGGUAAGCGGAAUUCCUGGUGUAGCGGUGAAAUGCGUAGAUAUCAGGAGGAACGCCGGUGGCGAAGGCGGCUUACUGGACAGUGACUGACGUUGAGGCUCGAAAGCGUGGGGAUCGAACAGGAUUAGAUACCCGUGUAGUC
This 441-nucleotide ribosomal RNA is filed under the name uncultured bacterium. RNAcentral's name for it is "partial 16S ribosomal RNA". It matches the Rfam family "Bacterial small subunit ribosomal RNA", at positions 338 to 795 of the family's 1533-position model. The record is from RNAcentral.